Molecule: long non-coding RNA, 651 nt
Organism: Salmo salar (Atlantic salmon)
Lineage: Eukaryota; Metazoa; Chordata; Actinopteri; Salmoniformes; Salmonidae
Source: RefSeq, a predicted model, not a curated record
GCUGCAAGUAUUGGCAGUAUGUAGUGGCUAUAUAUUAUUGCAUGCAUUUGCAGAAAUAUGAAUUACACCGACAGCAUCUGCCUUAUUUAUAGAACGAGCCCAAUAAAUCAUGCGUGCUGCACGUCGAUACGCCGAUGUGGACGUGAUAUUAUCAUCAUCUCUAGACUUUGCAGCUCCUCUGUGGCUCGAGCUGACUUAUCGUGACGUCAGCCACUGUAUCUGACUGUAUGCAGCCCUUCAUGGAGCGCGUGGCUGCGAGCACAUGGAAAGGAGGUCGAGAUUUGUGCUUGAAAGACACGCACCUAUUCAUCCGAAAUGGAAUAUAAAUAAUAAUGCGCAAAGUAGCGUCAGAGAACGGGAAGACUGUUGAAGACCCUUCCCGCUCUGCUCUACUUUACUCAGCUGUCAAUCAAACAGGAUCAGCAGAUUUAUAAUGAAAAUCAAGGCAUCUGGAUGGAAGUUAUGAAAAGUCCUCCCGGUUCUGACCCCUGCCUGACUCAGGGACUACUUUCCUGCCUGCCUGAUCAUCCUGCCUGCCCUGACCUUGAUUCUGCCUGCCCUUCGGUACCUAUUGGACUCUGCUCUGGUUUUGACUUUUUUGCCUGUCCACGACUAUUCUCCUUUGGAUGAAUAAACAUUGUAAAACUCCAA